Athene cunicularia (burrowing owl) is the source of this 717-nucleotide long non-coding RNA. RefSeq lists it as uncharacterized. The transcript has 4 exons. Lineage: Eukaryota; Metazoa; Chordata; Aves; Strigiformes; Strigidae. The record is from RefSeq and is a predicted model, not a curated record.
AGAAUACACAGAUGACAAUGCUCUGAUUCCUAAGAACUCCUCAGUAAUUGUUAGAAGAGUCCCUGUUAGAGGAGGUAAAACUACCAGCAAAACACAAGUUCUAACUCGAACUGAGCCAGCAAGUGGAACAUCCAAAGCAAUUGAGGACUCUUCUGCACCCACUCCUCUGGCCCAGCUCAUUAAGUGUCCCGUAAAGAGUAGUUCCCAGUCUGGGAAGAUAGCAGGGGAGUCCCUCAAUGUAAUGUUGCAUUAUUGCUCAUCUUCAAGACACAAAGAAGCAGCACUUCAGGAGCUGUUUACUGUUUCUCAGACCUUUUAUUAAUUUUGUGUUGGAGACUGACAUAAUAUUCGCAGAAUAAUUUAACUGGCUGCAAGUCAUGGACAUUUCAGGGGGGGCUUGCAACAGCCAAAAUAGAAACGUUUCUGUAACACGGACAAUUGCGUGGCUACUGUUGGUUUCUAGUCACUGCAGUUAUAGAUCCACUCUCUGAAAGCUGCACAGUUUCAUAACUUGUAGUCUAUGGAGAGUGGACAACACAACCUAAUUUUUUUGAAUGCAGACUGUGUAAAUUGUGUAAAUGUGCCUAAUUGUUUGCGGGAAUAUACCAAUGUGUGAGUGCAGUGUAUUAGCAGAGGUGACCUUCUGAAGCUGUUGUAAUGACAUGGUUUGCUAUGGAACUGCUUGUGUUUUCUUCUCAACAAUGUGUGACUUUGUCU